UCCAGACUCCUACGGGAGGCAGCAGUGAGGAAUAUUGGUCAAUGGGCGCGAGCCUGAACCAGCCAAGUCGCGUGGGGGAAGACGGUCCUAUGGAUUGUAAACCUCUUUUGUCGGGGAGCAAAAGACGCCACGCGUGGCGUUCCGAGAGUACCCGAAGAAAAAGCAUCGGCUAACUCCGUGCCAGCAGCCGCGGUAAUACGGAGGAUGCGAGCGUUAUCCGGAUUUAUUGGGUUUAAAGGGUGCGUAGGCGGACUGGAAAGUCAGCGGUAAAAUCGAGAGGCUCAACCGCUUUCCGCCGUUGAAACUGUCGGUCUUGAGUGGGCGAGAAGUAUGCGGAAUGCGUGGUGUAGCGGUGAAAUGCAUAGAUAUCACGCAGAACUCCGAUUGCGAAGGCAGCAUACCGGCGCCCGACUGACGCUGAGGCACGAAAGCGUGGGUAUCGAACAGGAUUAGAUACCCCAGUA
Molecule: ribosomal RNA, 464 nt
Filed under: uncultured bacterium
Lineage: Bacteria
Description: bacterial SSU rRNA
Rfam family: Bacterial small subunit ribosomal RNA
Source: RNAcentral